RNAcentral lists this unclassified non-coding RNA (253 nucleotides) under uncultured Solirubrobacteraceae bacterium. RNAcentral describes it as "contains 16S-23S intergenic spacer region". It matches the Rfam family "Bacterial small subunit ribosomal RNA", at positions 524 to 776 of the family's 1533-position model. The record is from RNAcentral. Lineage: Bacteria; Bacillati; Actinomycetota; Thermoleophilia; Solirubrobacterales; Solirubrobacteraceae.
UACGUAGGGGGCUAGCGUUGUCCGGAAUCAUUGGGCGUAAAGCGCGUGUAGGCGGCUCAAUCAGUCUGCUGUAAAAGUCGAGGGCUCAACCCUCGAAGGCCGGUGGAUACUGUUGAGCUAGAGUGCGGAAGAGGCGAGUGGAAUUCCUGGUGUAGCGGUGAAAUGCGCAGAUAUCAGGAAGAACACCAAUUGCGAAGGCAGCUCGCUGGGACGCCACUGACGCUGAGACGCGAAAGCGUGGGGAGCAAACAGG